UGCGUAGGUGGCCUGGAAAGUUUGAUGUGAAAGCUCGGAGCUUAACUCCGAAAUGGCAUUGAAUACUACUGGGCUUGAGGGUCGGAGGGGAGACUGGAAUUCUCGGUGUAGCAGUGAAAUGCGUAGAUAUCGAGAGGAACACCAGUGGCGAAGGCGAGUCUCUGGACGACCCCUGACACUGAGGCAAGACUAGGGAGCGAACA
RNAcentral lists this ribosomal RNA (203 nucleotides) under uncultured bacterium. RNAcentral describes it as "partial 16S ribosomal RNA". It matches the Rfam family "Bacterial small subunit ribosomal RNA", at positions 568 to 774 of the family's 1533-position model. The record is from RNAcentral.